This is a long non-coding RNA of Dunckerocampus dactyliophorus (ringed pipefish), 398 nucleotides long. RefSeq lists it as uncharacterized. Lineage: Eukaryota; Metazoa; Chordata; Actinopteri; Syngnathiformes; Syngnathidae. The transcript has 3 exons. The record is from RefSeq and is a predicted model, not a curated record.
GUACCAAGGAAAACGGAGGGAUAAAACAUGCCGCUUUGAACACAUCACGCAUGCUAACAAACUACAACAAUGGAGGAGAACAAAGUAUUGUAAUGAGACACAUUUUAUCCAGCAGGAGCAGCAAGAAAAUGGCCGAGAGCAGCAAAGGGGAGACUCGGGGUUAUUAUACUGCUGCAUCCUGAGCUAAGGCACAGCAACGGGAUUACUUUUCCUCUUCAAUUUUGCAUUGGAUUUAUUCUGAGUGUUGGACCACCUCUAGUCAUACGAGUGCUUUCAAAGUUAAGUCCAACUCAUGGAUCGGCGCUUCAGGACAAGAUAAAAGUGUGGCGUGGCGUCAAUAUCGGACAAUAUGGAGCACUUGCAGCAAUCGUCCUGUGGCAAAAGUGAACACAAACCAU